AUAAAAGAAAGGGAGCUCCUUUUGGUCCAAUACAGGGGGCAGAGAAGGGGAUAGAGCUGCCAUCUCAUGCAUUCCGGCUAUGCUUAAACCUUUACCUCCAUCGUCUAAUGUUAAGCAGAGCCAGAUGCAUGGUGUGGGAGCAACUCCUUCCCCAUCCUUUGCCCACCCAUUGGACUGAAGGGAGCUCCCUGCUUCAUUGCA
Molecule: non-coding RNA, 201 nt
Organism: Gossypium raimondii (Peruvian cotton)
Lineage: Eukaryota; Viridiplantae; Streptophyta; Magnoliopsida; Malvales; Malvaceae
Source: Rfam